UACGGGGGGGGCAAGCGUUGUUCGGAAUUACUGGGCGUAAAGGGCUCGUAGGCGGCCAACUAAGUCAGACGUGAAAUCCCUCGGCUUAACCGGGGAACUGCGUCUGAUACUGGAUGGCUUGAGUUUGGGAGAGGGAUGCGGAAUUCCAGGUGUAGCGGUGAAAUGCGUAGAUAUCGGAAGGAACACCAGUGGCGAAAGCGACUUCCUGGUCGAAUACUGACGUUCAUGUGCGAAAGCGUGGGGAGCAAACAGG
Molecule: ribosomal RNA, 253 nt
Filed under: uncultured bacterium
Lineage: Bacteria
Description: partial 16S ribosomal RNA
Rfam family: Bacterial small subunit ribosomal RNA
Source: RNAcentral